This 23-nucleotide non-coding RNA is filed under the name Cricetulus griseus (Chinese hamster). The record is from RNAcentral. Lineage: Eukaryota; Metazoa; Chordata; Mammalia; Rodentia; Cricetidae.
AAAAGAAUGACCCCAGUUACAGC